GACGAGUCCAAAAUAGGACGAAAUGCGCAUCCUGGAU
This 37-nucleotide non-coding RNA is filed under the name Trichobilharzia regenti. Lineage: Eukaryota; Metazoa; Platyhelminthes; Trematoda; Strigeidida; Schistosomatidae. The record is from RNAcentral.